GUGCACCAGUCGAGAAUCUUCCACAAUGGACAAAAGUCUGAUGGAGCGACGCCGCGUGCGGGAUGAAGGCCUUUAUGGGUUGUAAACCGCUGUCAGGGGGGAAGAACAUCGGAAUGAACAAUACUCAUUCCGACUGACGGUUACCCCCAGAGGAAGCUCCGGCCAACUCCGUGCCAGCAGCCGCGGUAAUACGGGGGGAGCAAGCGUUGUCCGGAAUUAUUGGGGCGUAAAGGGCGUGUAGGCGGCGAGGUAAGUCGAAUGGUGAAAUCUCACGGCUCAACCGUGAAACUGCGUUCGAAACUACCCUGCUUGAGUACGGGAGAGGUGACGGAAUUCCUGGUGUAGCGGUGGAAU
RNAcentral lists this ribosomal RNA (354 nucleotides) under uncultured microorganism. RNAcentral's name for it is "bacterial SSU rRNA". It matches the Rfam family "Bacterial small subunit ribosomal RNA", at positions 346 to 687 of the family's 1533-position model. The record is from RNAcentral.